AUGUAUCUCAAUCCUUCUCUUAAAGAUACUUUUUCAGGUUUGGAUUCCCAUGCCACGUGUUUCCUAAGGGUUUUUCUCCUAAGUAAUUCCCAUUGCACUGAGUGGAGUUACUGCCUCCUCCAUCUGAACCUGCUCUCAGCUUCUGAUAAACCCAGCAACUCGUUGUCCAGCUUCCUGUUCCUGAUAUGCAGAACACAUGUCAGAACAACUGGCCUAAUGAGAGAUGAAAAAUGGACAUGGCCAGGUCUGGUUCUGGAAACUGCAACACUUAGUGAGGCAUCAAAUAACAUCUACAGGAAUGUCCAGCUGAAGAGCAAAAAACACCCAAUCCUGCUUGGAAAGGAUGUAUGUUUGCCUUCAACUUGUGGAUACACGACAACAUACACCUUCUACCUAGGAAAACUCCUGUACUGAAAUACGUCUCCAUCCAAGAAGACUACCUGAGUAUCAACAAGUGUGCCACAG
This 465-nucleotide long non-coding RNA is filed under the name Coturnix japonica (Japanese quail). RNAcentral describes it as "lncRNA (ENSCJPG00005008628.1)". The record is from RNAcentral. Lineage: Eukaryota; Metazoa; Chordata; Aves; Galliformes; Phasianidae.